Molecule: ribosomal RNA, 118 nt
Filed under: uncultured bacterium
Lineage: Bacteria
Description: partial 16S ribosomal RNA
Rfam family: Bacterial small subunit ribosomal RNA
Source: RNAcentral
AAUACCGUUCCCGGGUCUUGUACACACCGCCCGUCAAGUCACCUGAAUUGUCUUCCACCCGAAGUCCGUGGCCUAACCGAAAGGAGGGAGCGGCCGAAGGUGAGGGAGUAAGGGGACU